CAGUCGAGCGAGUCUGCCUUGAAGAUCGGAGUGCUUGCACUCUGUGAAACAAGAUACAGGCUAGCGGCGGACGGGUGAGUAACACGUGGGUAACCUGCCCAAGAGAUCGGGAUAACACCUGGAAACAGAUGCUAAUACCGGAUAACAACAGAUGAUGCCUAUCAACUGUUUAAGAGAUGGUUCUGCUAUCACUCUUGGAUGGACCUGCGGUGCAUUAGCUAGUUGGUAGGGUAACGGCCUACCAAGGCGAUGAUGCAUAGCCGAGUUGAGAGACUGAUCGGCCACAUUGGGACUGAGACACGGCCCAAACUCCUACGGGAGGCAGCAGUAGGGAAUCUUCCACAAUGGACGCAAGUCUGAUGGAGCAACGCCGCGUGAGUGAAGAAGGGUUUCGGCUCGUAAAGCUCUGUUGUUGGUGAAGAAGGACGGGGGUAGUAACUGACCUUUGUUUGACGGUAAUCAAUUAGAAAGUCACGGCUAACUACGUGCCAGCAGCCGCGGUAAUACGUAGGUGGCAAGCGUUGUCCGGAUUUAUUGGGCGUAAAGCGAGUGCAGGCGGUUCGAUAAGUCUGAUGUGAAAGCCUUCGGCUCAACCGGAGAAUUGCAUCAGAAACUGUCGAGCUUGAGUACAGAAGAGGAGAGUGGAACUCCAUGUGUAGCGGUGAAAUGCGUAGAUAUAUGGAAGAACACCGGUGGCGAAGGCGGCUCUCUGGUCUGUUACUGACGCUGAGGCUCGAAAGCAUGGNNNG
Molecule: ribosomal RNA, 749 nt
Filed under: uncultured bacterium
Lineage: Bacteria
Description: bacterial SSU rRNA
Rfam family: Bacterial small subunit ribosomal RNA
Source: RNAcentral